This 497-nucleotide ribosomal RNA is filed under the name uncultured bacterium. RNAcentral describes it as "partial 16S ribosomal RNA". It matches the Rfam family "Bacterial small subunit ribosomal RNA", at positions 28 to 507 of the family's 1533-position model. The record is from RNAcentral.
GAUGAACGCUGGCGGCGUGCCUAAUACAUGCAAGUCGAGCGAACAGACUAGGAGCUUGCUCCUCUGACGUUAGCUGCGGACGGGUGAGUAACACGUGGAUAACCUACCUAUAAGACUGGGAUAACUUCGUGAAACCGGAGCUAAUACCGGAUAAUAUAUUGAACCGCAUGGUUCAAUAGUGAAAGACGGUUUUGCUGUCACUUAUAGAUGGAUCCGCGCCGCAUUAGCUAGUUGGUAAGGUAACGGCUUACCAAGGCAACGAUGCGUAGCCGACCUGAGAGGGGGAUGGGCCACACUGGAACUGAGACACGGUCCAGACUCCGACGGGAGGAAGCAGUAGGGAAUCUUCCGCAAUGGGCGAAAGCCUGACGGAGCAACGCCGCGUGAGUGAUGAAGGUCUUCGGAUCGUAAAACUCUGUUAUUAGGGAAGAACAAAUGUGUAAGUAACUAUGCACGUCUUGACGGUACCUAAUCAGAAAGCCACGGCUAACUACGUG